GAUUCCUUCCAUCUUGAAUGAA
Molecule: unclassified non-coding RNA, 22 nt
Filed under: Dictyostelium discoideum
Lineage: Eukaryota; Evosea; Eumycetozoa; Dictyosteliales; Dictyosteliaceae
Source: RNAcentral